CAAUGGGCCAUCCCGUGUUAUAGAUUGUGAUUAAUGAAGCAAAGUCACACCAGACCUGAACCAGUUUUGCGACAGUUGAGAGACCUUCACAUAGGGGCACCUGCUUUGUCGCCACUGGGGUCUGCGAGGAGAAUACAGAGAAGCACCACGUCACAACAAGCAAAUGUCACUUUCCAAUAAUAUAGCAAGUUGAAGUAAGCCAUCCCACAAAUAAAUGUAGUAAAACAAACCAUCGAAUUUCAGUUCGGUUUCCUAGCAUAUCUGAACCUUGUAUAUUUGUCCCUUUAUUUAGAUAAAUGUAAGCAGUCUUCUUUUUGUGUAGGGGGAGGCUGUGAGGAAGCUAUAACAUGCUCCAUUGGUUUAUCCAGAACUCCAAGCAUGGGGCUGCCCUUCCACAGUCCGAGCAACAACUGGGCGGUUGAUCAUCCAAUACUACUUGCAUUUCCACAUGCUGGAGUACGCUGGAGGACGUACUUAUAUCCGUCCACAUGCAAGGAGUCUUUUCCUUUCCGAGUUUGGAUGAAUUGGCCAUCCAUCUUGCCACUUCAGAAUCUUUGCACCAAACAUCUCUGUGUUGCGUGUGCGUGCGGGCGAAGCGAACACGUGCAAAUUUUAUUUUGUAUGGUGCAAUGAUACAAGAAGCGUAAAGUGAGAAAUAAAUAUAUUUUCAGAAAUGCA
Long non-coding RNA from Ornithodoros turicata, 678 nucleotides. RefSeq lists it as uncharacterized. Lineage: Eukaryota; Metazoa; Arthropoda; Arachnida; Ixodida; Argasidae. The record is from RefSeq and is a predicted model, not a curated record. The transcript is spliced from 2 exons.